UUUGCUACCGUCACUGCCCCCAAAACUCACACAGACCGACCCCCACGCAGCGAGGAACUAGUGAAGCUCCAACCAGCCAGCAGCAGCCAUAACCUUCACUGUGUGACUGCUGACAAACUUUUGAGACACACCCCAUUGAUGAGUUUUAUUUGACUGCAGCCCCGCCUGGUUCGGAGGGAUCUCUCCACUGCCAUUGGUCCACAGUUAGAACUCACCAUACCUGCCCCCUGGCUCCUGUGGACUGGAGCCAAAUACUUCUUCCACCUGUCAAUCACAAAGAGAUCAGCCAGUGGGAUGAGAGAGGCCAGGCUUGGCGGGUGUGUUCCCCACAGGUGUGGCUGAGAAGCACAUUCCAAUAUGUACAUACCUGUCAGCUCCUCUGGUAUUCAGCUGCUCCUAGAAAGACCUCUGUUGACCACUGGCUCUCCCCUUUCCCUCCUGCUGGGGCCCAUGCAGAGGGAGAAGGAAAUAGCUCGUGUUUCGGUCGCACAAAUAAGUGUUUUUUAAACUCAUGCUAUCUGGCUCUUCAAUUCAUGCCCGAAGAAGAUGACAUUUCCUUUCAAGUUAUGAUGUCCAGUUCAGGAGAAAGCAUUUGGGUAGCGGAGAAAACACAUUCUGUAAUCAAAUAGGACAGUGAAGUUGAAAUGAUGUCAAGGGUUUGGAAAAAUAAAGGUGAUUUAAAGGUCAAGCGGCACCGUGCAUUGCGGGAUCUCAUUAUACAUUGUGAUAUGUGGAAUCAGUUAGCAUACAGGUGCAGGCAGUGGCAUGUGCCCUCCCCCUCCCCCCCAGCAGAGAACCUCAGAUGCCUCUUUCCUUCAGAAUAAAAUCAACCCGAAUGUUUCCAACGUGCAUCAUUGCAUUGUCUCCUUCUCUGGUAUGCAGCCUGUCUCUCUGUCUUUCUCUUUUCCUGUAAUUUUUAUCCUGUCUUCUCUUCAUCCUGCUCUCUCUCUCACUCUCUCUCUCUUUCUCUCCCGCCUCCUCUGUGGCUCUUCAUCCUGCUCUCCUCUCAGAGUACAGGAGUGAACAGUGUGUGCCUCAGGCAGGUGCGGGAAUGCAGGUUUGCAGCAUUCAGAGGCCUAAAGCAAAGCAGAGCGGCCCAGGCCAUGAUUUGGCUCUGUGCGAGUCUGUGCAUGUGUAGAGCUGAAUCACAGCAGCCACAGUGACUAAGCUCCUCUGUGUCGUUAGUCACAUUUGUAGAGUUUAGCUGUUGGUCUCAUCAGACCAAGCUAAUUUUGGCUUUUUAAAAAAAUCCCCAAAGUUGGGAGGAAGUCGGCAUCUUUCAUGGACAAUUCAAGGUGCAGGUGUAAAACAAGGUUCUGUGUCAUGUUUAAGUGGUGGCAUCGGUCUAUAAAAGGACACUGCUGUUACACAAUCACAGCUUACAACAAAAUGAACUAGUGUCAUUAUGUGGGAGGUCAGUAAUGAAGAAUCCUAUAAUCCUUUUAAAAAGAAGUUGCAGCUACUGAUGAGCAUGUAAUGAAAUCGAAUGUGUUACUGCGAUUUUUGAUUACAAUGCCUAAAUUUCAAUGUUAUUAAUCUGUUUUUGUAAUGAGAGUGAGAGUAUGAUAUCCUGCAGUUUAAUGAGAGCUAAAGUGGAAAUAUAGCUGAAAAUUCAGAAAAAAGAAUAACAUUUCCGAAAAAUAUUUAAGUUAUAAUGAAUUAUAUGUUUAUUAUUGAUAUAAAUAAAGAACUUCAAGAGGUUCAGGAAACUUCAGCUUCAGGAAAGACUUGUGGUCUGAUCAUAGACUGUAUAUAGAAGUGUAGUAUAGUAUAUACAGUCUAUGGGUAUGAUACACUCAUAUACUAUAUGCUCAAGUGUUGCUCUAAGUGUGAAUUGUAAAAGCGUCAAAUUAACAUUUUUCAGUGAGACUGUACCGGGGACAUGCUGGUACAGGUCCACUGUCAUUUUGAAGGUCCUCUUGUAGUGUGAUGUGGGGUUGGACUGCAUUAUAUUUGACUAUCCUCAGGUGUCAUGAGUGGGGCCCGACUGACAAACCAGGGAAAAAGACAAUUUUAGAAUUUUUUUUUUUUUUUUUUAAGAUUUUCUCAUACAUAUGAUUUUUAAGUGAUUUCAAAGUAAACUGCAAAAUUAUGGAAACAGUAUGUGUAGACUCUCAUAGAUCUUGGCAAUAAAAAAACUCAGUUUUAUGUUUUGGAUUUUCAGAUUUUCCCAUCAGAAUAUCUGUUGUUUACAUUGAUCAAGAAAAUAUAAAAUGCUCACUUAAAGAAUGCCACCAUAAACUGUGCAAUCCUCUUUCUAUGAGUAAAAAACAUGAAAAAAAUUGCAGCGUCUAAGGCAGAAAUAAAAAAGCUUAUUUCCCAACACAAGGAAUAAUAUGUAAGAUAAUGUGUUGGGCAUAAUUGAUGGUAAAAAAACAUAAAGCACACUGUGGAUAUGCUAACUUUAUCAGCUUUUUCAAGGACAGAGUGUAUUUGCUUAGGGUAGAUGAACUUAUUUGUAUGGUAUCAUGUGUUAUAACAUGAUGUUAUACUGUAGUGCAGCAGCCUGACCUCCUCUCUCAUGGUUCUGUUUGCGUGAUCAGGAUGAGGAUGUGGGUGAGGAUCAGGGCUGUCUGUAAGAAUUCCAGGGCCCGUGAUGGGAGGAGGAUUUUCAGAUGGUUGUGAGUUGUGUUCAUGCCCAGAGGCUGUAUCCUGUCGCCGGGAAUAACCACAAAGUCGAGUGAGCACACAGACAACAGGGGAGGUGCUGAGUCAGCUGUCCGCCGGGCUUAGCACACGCUGCGCUGCCCAGGAUUCUUCAACGCAUGGUUCCCAUCGGCUUCUCAAGUCACGAAUCCCAUGUUUCCAUUUAGAGACUAUCAGCACUUCUUUAUCAAAACACAGACACUAUCAAGAAUCAUUCAAAUCUAUCCAAAAUCUAUAGAGAGACGCAUUUUCUCCCACCUGAAUCCUGCAUAACGGCACUAAGGCUGCUAGCUGGUGUCAGGUUUGA
Molecule: non-coding RNA, 2953 nt
Organism: Xyrichtys novacula (pearly razorfish)
Lineage: Eukaryota; Metazoa; Chordata; Actinopteri; Labriformes; Labridae
Source: the annotation of a GenBank genome assembly